This 1789-nucleotide long non-coding RNA is filed under the name Gallus gallus (chicken). RNAcentral's name for it is "lncRNA (ENSGALG00010008576.1)". Lineage: Eukaryota; Metazoa; Chordata; Aves; Galliformes; Phasianidae. The record is from RNAcentral.
CUUCAGAGGCAGAAGAAACUUACUGUCUGCAAAUUCUUGUUCUGCUGCAUUGCCCAAUGAGGCUCUGAAAGAUAUAGUCCUGCAGAUUAUUGGAGAAAACAAGGGUGUUUGUGAACUUUUCCACCUCUUGGGAUCUCUGUGUAGGACAAGGAAGAUGAGCUGAUGGGCAAGGAGGCCAGACUAGCUGAACAGAGACCUUUGGCUUGAACUCAAGAACAAAAGGAAGGUUUAUGGUCUUUGGAAGAGCGGGCAAGCUACUUACGAUGAUUACAGACAGAAAGGACAAGAUCUUCCAUUCUUCCACUCUAGGAGGAUUCCUCCUUGUCACCUCAGUUAAGGCAACUGGAAGACCGUGGUUCAGAGCUUCACUGUCACCAAAUCACAAGGAGCAUGUUGCAAGGCAGUAAAACCUGGUACCUUGUGAGCAGUGAAACCAGACAUCUGAUCUUUUUGAGAAAUGUGCAGUCUAAGCCUACACAGAUAAACUCCCUUGGUUCCUGCUUGAGACCUGGCCAGGCUUCGAGUGGAAUCCAAAAGGAGGAUGACUCCAGAUGUUUCUGCACCUUAAGCUAUAAAGCAGGACUGGUCUGACUGCAAGGGAAACAAUCACUUUAGGGUUGAGGAAGACCACACACAAACCUGGUGGUAGGCCCACUUGGAGACAGGAUCUCAAGACACAAGCAAAUACUGUUCUAUUUUUCAGACUUUUGUGAUUCAUGGAGAAUGUUACUAUUCUUCUGGCUUUAAACAGCAAUACUUCCACUUUUACAAGACCUAACUUGUGUGAUGUUGUGCACCAAAAUAUUUCUAGAAAGUAGUUUUAAAGGAGCAGUGUCCCAGAUGUCAACUUGAAAGCAGCUCUUGAAGCAUUAUGAAAGAACUUUGGAAUCUCCAGAUGAAAAGACCUAGCUCAUUCUACUUCCAGAAACAAGACAUGGCCAUGGUCAAAAGGAUGAAAAUUGCACAGAGGAGAGUGAAAAGUUUGGGGUCCAGAGAGGCUCUCCCCAAGGUACUGGCAGACCUGAUAAUUUCCACAGCUGUUCUUCAUAGAGGAGAAGUGAGAAAAGUGUUAGUGACCAUGGGGACCCAAAGCUCUGUCAAUAAAUAUUCAUUUUCCUAAAACUUAAGCCAAGGACCAGUAAAGCUUCCCCUCAGAGCACUAUCUUAUGCUCAGGAUCAGCAGCUAGCUCAGGAGAAUGUUACUCACUCCACUCCGUUCUUUCCAAAGUUCUUAGUAGCAGACCUGGAGCAAGAUGUACUGUCUUUUCUUUUUCAGUGAAAGCAGACAUGGGGCUCCCGCGUAGCCAAGAUCCUCAUAAAUCCAGACACCUCUUGGUCGAGAGAAUUAAGUUUGAAAUUUCCUUCCUGUGAGUGAGCCCUGGAAAAGAAGUAAAAAUACCCAGGACAAACAAAAGAGAUUGAAGCACCUUUAAUUAUGUUUUUCUUGCCCUUCAUAAUCACCAGACAAAGCAGAGCUCUAUAUAUGCAUGAUUAAUGUGAUAAUUUACCACCUAAUUUACAGCUAAGGCACAGCAAAUAAAGUGGAGGCUUUGUUUGUUGAAGUAGACAUGCAUAUACUUACCAACAAAUAACUCACCCAAUCUGUAUUGAGAAGGCUCAAUAUGGGCAUGGCUCUGACUCAAUCUUUUAAAAUAUUUAUAUAUGUCCUGUAGUCACUCGCGAACCUCUGCUAUAGUUAAUUGGAGGCACUUAGUCUUUAUGCUGGCCUCUCAUUGUGAUAAAUAUUUAAUCACAGAGGGAAGUGUGCGUUAGCAAGAGGAGACAUCAG